UACGUAGGGUGCAAGCGUUGUCCGGAAUUAUUGGGCGUAAAGAGCUCGUAGGCGGUUUGUCGCGUCGGCUGUGAAAACCCGGGGCUCAACCCCGGGCCUGCAGUCGAUACGGGCAAACUAGAGUGUGGUAGGGGAGACUGGAAUUCCUGGUGUAGCGGUGAAAUGCGCAGAUAUCAGGAGGAACACCGAUGGCGAAGGCAGUUCUCUGGGCCGUAACUGACGCUGAGGAGCGAAAGCGUGGGGAGCGAACAGG
This 253-nucleotide ribosomal RNA is filed under the name uncultured bacterium. Its description in RNAcentral is "partial 16S ribosomal RNA". It matches the Rfam family "Bacterial small subunit ribosomal RNA", at positions 524 to 776 of the family's 1533-position model. The record is from RNAcentral.